This 497-nucleotide ribosomal RNA is filed under the name uncultured bacterium. RNAcentral's name for it is "partial 16S ribosomal RNA". It matches the Rfam family "Bacterial small subunit ribosomal RNA", at positions 28 to 507 of the family's 1533-position model. The record is from RNAcentral.
GAUGAACGCUGGCGGCGUGCCUAAUACAUGCAAGUCGAGCGAACAGACGAGGAGCUUGCUCCUCUGACGUUAGCGGCGGACGGGUGAGUAACACGUGGAUAACCUACCUAUAAGACUGGGAUAACUUCGGGAAACCGGAGCUAAUACCGGAUAAUAUAUUGAACCGCAUGGUUCAAUAGUGAAAGACGGUUUUGCUGUCACUUCUAGAUGGAUCCGCGCCGCAUUAGCUAGUUGGUAAGGUAACGGCUUACCAAGGCAACGAUGCGUAGCCGACCUGAGAGGGUGAUCGGCGACACUGGAGCUGGGACACGGUCCUGACUCCUACGGGAGGCAGCGGUAGGGAAUCUUCCGCAAUGGGCGAAAGCCUGACGGAGCAGCGCCGCGUGAGUGAUGAAGGUCUUCGGAUCGUAAAACUCUGUUAUUAGGGAAGAACAAAUGUGUAAGUAACUAUGCACGUCUUGACGGUACCUAAUCAGAAAGCCACGGCUAACUACGUG